CUGGGAUCGGGGCGGCGCUGGCCGGGGCUGGGCUAGAUGAUAGAGACCCCACUAAGACCUUAUAGCAGAGUGGAGGUCUGAAGGCCCAAGGCUCUAUCUUUCUGUCUGUCUAUCUGUCCCACUAAGACCUUAUAGCAGACUGGAGGUCUGAAGGCCCAAGGCUCUAUCUUUCUGUCUAUCUAUCUGUCCCACUAAGACCUUAUAGCAGACUGGAGGUCUGAAGGCCCAAGGCUCUCUCUUUCUGUCUAUCUAUCUGUCCCACUAAGACCUUAUAGCAGACUGGAGGUCUGAAGGCCCAAGGCUCUAUCUUUCUGUCUAUCUAUCUGUCCCACUAAGACCUUAUAGCAGACUGGAGGUCUGAAGGCCCAAGGCUCUAUCUUUCUGUCUAUCUAUCUGUCCCACUAAGACCUUAUAGCAGACUGGAGGUCUGAAGGCCCAAGGCUCUAUCUUUCUGUCUAUCUAUCUGUCCCACUAAGACCUUAUAGCAGACUGGAGGUCUGAAGGCCCAAGGCUCUAUCUUUCUGUCUAUCUAUCUGUCCCACUAAGACCUUAUAGCAGACUGGAGGUCUGAAGGCCCAAGGCUCUAUCUUUCUGUCUAUCUAUCUGUCCCACUAAGACCUUAUAGCAGACUGGAGGUCUGAAGGCCCAAGGCUCUCUCUUUCUGUCAAUCUAUCUGUCCCACUAAGACCUUAUAGCAGACUGGAGGUCUGAAGGCCCAAGGCUCUCUCUUUCUGUCUAUCUAUCUGUCCCACUAAGACCUUAUAGCAGACUGGAGGUCUGAAGGCCCAAGGCUCUCUCUUUCUCUCUCUCCCCUUCCCCUGUGAGUUGUCCUCCCCCUGGUGCUACUGUAGAGAACCACUCUGAUGAGACAGGGGGUCAAUCUAAAAUGGAGCCUUAUUGCACGUGUAGGGCACUACUUCUGUCCAGAACCUCUUUUGCAGGCUAACCCCUCACAGCUCUGGCUAAAAGUAGUGCACUACCUAGGGAAUAGGGUGCUAUUAAGGACACAGAUAGACAGACAGUGUUCCUAGGUGGACGGUGGGGUCCUGGGCCGCUAAGUCAAAGCACACUGACAAAACUAAACUCCUUCCUCUGAGCCAGAGCAUGAGCCACAAUCACAAGAGGUUUCCUCCUCUUCCUCCCUCACACUGGGGACUAUUGAGUACGGUACGCACCACUACCCAAGGACUACAAAGAACUACAAAGAUGGAGGCGAACUACAAAGAUGGAGGGCAACGUCGACCACACUGACCUCUUGGAAAAUACCCGAGGCAAAAAUAAGAACAGCGAUGAACUGAAACAAUAGUGCCAUCUGACCGAUCCUCUCCUUUUUAUUACUGCAGCUGGACAAUAAAACAGUAACACAGUUCGUGUUGUUUAAAACAAAACAAAAAAAGACAAAAAGAAAACACAAUAACAUUUGCUGAAACGUGGACUGGCCACUCUGUAUGUGUGUGUGUUUGUGUUGCUGCACCACUGCUGUGUAGCGUUGUGACGGAAACAAGGCCAGAGUGAUACAAACCCUCUAUCUAGUUAUUCUAGGGACUCCUUCCUUCCUUCCCUCCUUCUCUCUCUCUUGGUCUCUCUCGUUCACACUUGGCUUCGCUCUGUCCUCCUUGUCCUCCUUCAUCUGUCAUAGCUGGGUCUCACUAGCUCUCUGUCCCUCCACCUGUGAUUUCUAAUGGUUUUUACAGAGAAAAUAUCAGUACUGCGUCUCACUUCUUCCCAAUGAUUUUUAAGUAGACUAUUUGACUUAGGGAAGAAAGAAAAAAAAACAUCUGGAAAAAUAGCACAAUAUUUGAAACGUUAGCCCCAUUUAUUUUCUGAAGCCCGUACUGUAGUCCUGUCUCUCUGAAGCCCGUACUGUAGUCCUGCCUCUCUGAAGCCUGUACUGUAGUCCUGCCUCUCUGAAGCCUGUACUGUAGUCCUGCCUCUCUGAAGCCUGUACUGUAGUCCUGCCUCUCUGAAGCCUGUACUGUAGUCCUGCCUCUCUGAAGCCUGUACUGUAGUCCUGCCUCUCUGAAGCCUGUACUGUAGUCCUGCCUCUCUGAAGCCUGUACUGUAGUCCUGCCUCUCUGAAGCCUGUACUGUAGUCCUGCCUCUCUGAAGCCUGUACUGUAGUCCUGCCUCUCUGAAGCCUGUACUGUAGUCCUGCCUCUCUGAAGCCUGUACUGUAGUCCUGCCUCUCUGAAGCCUGUACUGUAGUCCUGCCUCUCUGAAGCCUGUACUGUAGUCCUGCCUCCCUGAAGCCUGUACUGUAGUCCUGCCUCCCUGAAGCCUGUACUGUAGUCCUGCCUCUCUGAAGCCUGUACUGGAGUCCUGCCUCUCUGAAGCCUGUACUGUAGUCCUGCCUCUCUGAAGCCUGUACUGUAGUCCUGCCUCUCUGAAGCCUGUACUGUAGUCCUGCCUCUCGUAGCCAAGACUGAGGAGGAGAAUGUAGAAAUGGAACCAGGACAGUCAGUCGUCCCCUUAGGCUUCAUCACAAUGCGUUUGGCAGACGAGACAAGACGUGACGUCUCCUCUCCAUGCAUGUCACCAAGCACACUGGUUGACCCAGAAGCAUAAUAUAUGAAACCCUUUAGAAAAGGAUUUUAAAAAGCUUUGCUUUGGGGAGGAGAAUGAAGAAGCAGCUUUAUCUGGGCUACGCGCAAUUAGAAAGAAACAAAACAACAAAAUAUCAUCUGAAAUUUCCCCAAACAAAAUGGCCACUUCUCUGAAUCCUAGAAUACAGGAUCGCUCCAUUUCCC
Long non-coding RNA from Oncorhynchus keta (chum salmon), 2747 nucleotides. RefSeq lists it as uncharacterized. The transcript is spliced from 6 exons. The record is from RefSeq and is a predicted model, not a curated record. NCBI's taxonomy places the organism in Eukaryota, Metazoa, Chordata, Actinopteri, Salmoniformes, Salmonidae.